ACGAACGCUGGCGGCGUGCCUAAUACAUGCAAGUCGAACGCUUCUUUCCUCCCGAGUGCUUGCACUCAAUUGGAAAGAGGAGUGGCGGACGGGUGAGUAACACGUGGGUAACCUACCCAUCAGAGGUGGAUAACACUUGGAAACAGGUGCUAAUACCGCAUAACAGUUUAUGCCGCAUGGCAUAAGAGUGAAAGGCGCUUUCGGGUGUCGCUGAUGGAUGGACCCGCGGUGCAUUAGCUAGUUGGUGAGGUAACGGCUCACCAAGGCCACGAUGCAUAGCCGACCUGAGAGGGUGAUCGGCCACACUGGGACUGAGACACGGCCCAGACUCCUACGGGAGGCAGCAGUAGGGAAUCUUCGGCAAUGGACGAAAGUCUGACCGAGCAACGCCGCGUGAGUGAAGAAGGUUUUCGGAUCGUAAAACUCUGUUGUUAGAGAAGAACAAGGACGUUAGUAACUGAACGUCCCCUGACGGUAUCUAACCAGAAAGCCACGGCUAACUACGUG
Molecule: ribosomal RNA, 507 nt
Filed under: uncultured bacterium
Lineage: Bacteria
Description: partial 16S ribosomal RNA
Rfam family: Bacterial small subunit ribosomal RNA
Source: RNAcentral